RNAcentral lists this transfer RNA (69 nucleotides) under Vermileo comstocki. RNAcentral describes it as "tRNA-Asn". The record is from RNAcentral. Lineage: Eukaryota; Metazoa; Arthropoda; Insecta; Diptera; Vermileonidae.
UUAAUUGAAGCCAAAAACUAGAGGCAUAUCACUGUUAAUGAUAUAAUUGAAAUUUAUAUUCCAAUUAAG